This 74-nucleotide transfer RNA is filed under the name Merluccius polli (Benguela hake). It matches the Rfam family "tRNA". Rfam says of the family: Transfer RNA (tRNA) molecules are approximately 80 nucleotides in length. Their secondary structure includes four short double-helical elements and three loops (D, anti-codon, and T loops). Lineage: Eukaryota; Metazoa; Chordata; Actinopteri; Gadiformes; Merlucciidae. The record is from Rfam by way of RNAcentral.
GUUUCUGUAGUGUAGUGGUUAUCACGUACGCCUCACACGCGAAAGGUCCCCUGUUCGAAACCGGGCAAGGAACA